GGACUGAGAAGUGCAAAAGUUGGAACAGUGGCAGUCUGAUGACCUCAGAUGGAUGGUUUUUGGAGCAAAAGAACCCCUAAUUACAUAAAAAGCCAGCAUAGUGUCUGAAACAAGACCAGUACCCAACUUCUGAAGAGGGACCAGGUGAGAUACGCUUCUCUGGCAUGAGAUGCAGUGGCUGAAGCUCUAGUAGCUGUUUUGGACCAUGAGGAUAAGGGCCCCAUAUGAGGCAUGGUGGAGAGUAAGCCAGAAGUUUCCUGGGUCCUUGGUCACUUAGUGGAGUGCCUUACAAGUCAUGGACUGUCUACUUGUGGAUUUCUUUGAUGUAAGAUAAAUAAAUUUCUAAUUUGUUUCAGUCACUGUUUUUUAAUUAAAAAUUUUAAUUUUAUUAAAUUUAUUUUUUAUAGUAAAAAUAAUAUACAAUUUACCAUCUUAAUCGUUUUAAGUGUACAGUUCAGCAAUGUUAACUAUAUUCAUACAAACUACUCUAGUUUUAAUUUUUUAAUUAUAUGGAACCAAACCUAAUCCUAACUAAAACACAGUGGUUAUUUUAACUGAUCUUCAAUAAACUAGUUAAAUUAGCAGACUCUCCAUCUCCUUAGUAAAGUGUGCUAAUCAUGGCCAUCACAUGCAUACUCCCAGCUAUUAAACUGUUCUCUAGGACAGUGGAUCUCAAUUUACAUGUGCAUCAGAAUUAUCUCAAGAUUUUCUGAUUCUGUGGGUCUGGAGUGCGGCCUGAGAACUUGACAUUUCUGAUAAGUUCUCAGGACCUUGAUGCUGCUGGUCUGGGGAUGUACUUGGGGAACUACUGAUCUAGGACACCAUAGCCUUUGUUUUUUAUCAGCAGUGCUGAACGUUAAUAGGAAGCAAUUGUAUUUGUUCUUACACUGAUUAUGUGUAUUAUAUUUCUGAUUGUCAUUGUGUAAUUUAAAUACUACCUUCAUCUAUGAGAAUUUAGUUGAAAAAUAGUUGUUUAUAUGAAAACUAAAUCAAAUACUUCGUAACAACUUAAUGUAGCUAUUCAUUAAAAUAAAGCUACCAAGUGAGAUUGGUGGGGCCGCUGUUAAAUAUCAGAAUAGCUAUCUAUCUAUCUAUCUGUCUGUCUGUCUGUCUGUCUAGAUAUAUGUAUAUAUCUGUAUCUAAAACAAUUAUAUAUUCAAGUUGCUUUAAAAAGAGUCUUUAAUUUAUUGUUUUACUUUAAAUAAAUUAAGUCUAUAAAUUGUAAAUGAUGUGUUAAUGCUGGAAUGAGUUAAAACUUUGGUGAACUGUUAGGAAGGCAUGAUUGAUUUUUGAAAUGUGAAAUGGAGAUGAGAUUUGGGAGAGGCCGGGGCAGAAUGAUAUGAUUUAGUCAAUAAAGACAGUAUGGAACUUUAAUCAGUGGAUCCAAUCUUUAAAAAAAACCCUUUGGAAAGUUGGCAAAUGAGUGCAUACUUAAACAUUUUAAAUUAACAUUCUAAAUUAAAAUAAAAUGUUAAAA
RNAcentral lists this long non-coding RNA (1477 nucleotides) under Macaca fascicularis (crab-eating macaque). RNAcentral describes it as "lncRNA (ENSMFAG00000065679.1)". The record is from RNAcentral. Lineage: Eukaryota; Metazoa; Chordata; Mammalia; Primates; Cercopithecidae.